UACGUAGGUGGCAAGCGUUGUUCGGAAUUACUGGGCGUAGAGCGCGCGUAGGCGGCUCUUCAAGUCAGGCGUGAAAGCCCCGAGCUUAACUCGGGAACUGCGCUUGAUACUGUCGAGCUAGAGUGUGGAAGGGGCGAUUGGAAUUCCGUGUGUAGCGGUGAAAUGCGCAGAUAUCAGGAGGAACACCGGUGGCGAAGGCGGGUCUCUGGGCCGAUACUGACGCUGAGGAGCGAAAGCGUGGGGAGCGAACAGG
Molecule: ribosomal RNA, 253 nt
Filed under: uncultured bacterium
Lineage: Bacteria
Description: partial 16S ribosomal RNA
Rfam family: Bacterial small subunit ribosomal RNA
Source: RNAcentral